GAUGAAGAACGCAGCAAAAUGCGAUAAGUAGUGUGAAUUGCAGAAUUCAGUGAAUCAUCGAAUCUUUGAACGCACCUUGCGCCCUUUGGCUAUUCUGAAGGGCAUGCCUGUUUGAGUAUCGUGAACACCUCAACUCUCAUGGUCUGCCAUGAUGAGCUUGGACUUUGGGGGUCUUGCUGGCCUACUGUCAGCUCCUCUCAAAUGAAUCAGCUUACCAGUGUUUGGUGGCACCACAGGUGUGAUAACUAUCUACGCUUGUGGUUUUCUGCCAGGUAACCUCCAGUGAUGGAGGUUCGCUGGAGCUCACAAAUGUCUCUCCUCAGCGAGGACAGCUUUUUGAACGUUUGAUCUCAAAUCAGGUAGGACUACCCGCUGAACUUAAGCAUAUCAAUAAGCGGAGGA
This 402-nucleotide unclassified non-coding RNA is filed under the name soil metagenome. RNAcentral describes it as "partial contains 5.8S ribosomal RNA, internal transcribed spacer 2, and large subunit ribosomal RNA". The stretch from base 1 to 121 matches the Rfam family "5.8S ribosomal RNA", at positions 35 to 154 of the family's 154-position model. The record is from RNAcentral.